Molecule: long non-coding RNA, 754 nt
Organism: Macrobrachium nipponense
Lineage: Eukaryota; Metazoa; Arthropoda; Malacostraca; Decapoda; Palaemonidae
Exons: 3
Source: RefSeq, a predicted model, not a curated record
GUGACGGUGUAACAGUGUGACUCCCAGUUUCUUGUUUACAUUGAGUGUUUUGUAGUGUAAUGUCUCGCUUGCGGCUUGGUUUAAUUACCGUUCAGUAACGGAAAAUAGAGCGAACUCCAUGCAGUAUUAGUUAAUUACCAACUUCUCCCAGAUGAUAUUAACUGAAAAGGUGGCAAUAAAAGCGAGAGGAAGGCCUAGAGUAGCCUAGCAGCGGGAGCAACGACCUUAUCCUACACGUCCUUUUUACAUUCUUGUCAGAAAAGCUUUGCAGUCCUUCCGCGGUAUUUUUCGACGAGCUUCCACCGCUGAUGUUUACUGAAGCCAUUUUCAACAGGCGCUGGGUAUUAUUGUCUGUCUGGGCAGAGAAUGGCGACGUUAUGAAUUGUGAAACCUUCGGUGAAACUGCUUCAGCCCGAUGAAAGAGCGAAUCUUGAUUCGCCAAACCCGGUUUUGAUUCGCCGGACCUAUAGUCAUCUGAUGUUCUUAUACGAAAUCUGAGAUCUGACGAAGACUUACUUCAAUGUCGAGGAUUAAUUAAGGAAGUCAGGAAGAUAGAAUGUUCUCGUGUGUGUAUUGUAGAGAUUACGUGAUUAUAGUAGAUUAAUAUGUGAAAUAUUCAGAAGAUCUUACAUAGAUAAAAUUCAGUGUAUGGAUAAAGUGUGUAGGUAGAUUUUCCUUCUUUUGGGGGGAGGUUGUCAGUUCUAUCUCCGCUAAGUUGUGGAACCCUUUGCCGAAUCUGUUUUUGAAAAUACAA